Molecule: ribosomal RNA, 252 nt
Filed under: uncultured bacterium
Lineage: Bacteria
Description: partial 16S ribosomal RNA
Rfam family: Bacterial small subunit ribosomal RNA
Source: RNAcentral
UACGUAGGUCCCGAGCGUUGUCCGGAUUUAUUGGGCGUAAAGCGAGCGCAGGUGGUUUAUUAAGUCUGGUGUAAAAGGCAGUGGCUCAACCAUUGUAUGCAUUGGAAACUGGUAGACUUGAGUGCAGGAGAGGAGAGUGGAAUUCCAUGUGUAGCGGUGAAAUGCGUAGAUAUAUGGAGAAACACCGGUGGCGUAAGCGGCUCUCUGGCCUGUAACUGACACUGAGGCUCGAAAGCGUGGGGAGCAAACAGG